This 73-nucleotide transfer RNA is filed under the name Flectobacillus sp. RNAcentral's name for it is "tRNA-Ala". It matches the Rfam family "tRNA". From Rfam's summary of the family: Transfer RNA (tRNA) molecules are approximately 80 nucleotides in length. Lineage: Bacteria; Pseudomonadati; Bacteroidota; Cytophagia; Cytophagales; Flectobacillaceae. The record is from RNAcentral.
GGGGAUAUAGCUCAGUUGGUAGAGCGCUGCUUUUGCACGGCAGAAGUCAGCGGUUCGAGUCCGCUUAUCUCCA